RNA transcript from Corythoichthys intestinalis (scribbled pipefish), 3497 nucleotides. It is a transcript of the gene named gastrula zinc finger protein XlCGF26.1-like, with no coding region annotated. Lineage: Eukaryota; Metazoa; Chordata; Actinopteri; Syngnathiformes; Syngnathidae. The transcript has 2 exons. The record is from RefSeq and is a predicted model, not a curated record.
UCGUCAAGCCAUGUUUGGAACUACACGAGGCUCCGUUACCCGGAAGUAAAAUCGUAUAAUGGAUCUCUAUGGGAGUGUCGUAACCCUCUUUCUUAUGGGUAGGCCGGCAGUGUCGUGUACGUUAUGACGUAAGAGGAUGUGAGUGGCUGGGGGAGGAGGUUCCGUCCCAUUGCUUUGGAACAGUAGUGGCAGCUUUGAGGACAAUCCACUACUUUUCAUCUGUCAUUGGCCCCGUGACGUAAUGUAAUCCACUGAAAGGUGCCGGAAAUUUUCGGACACGCCACGAAUCCGUUCAGUCUCGCUUUUGCUUGGAGUCGUUUGGGUGCACGUUGAAACUUCGAGGCCUGCUUAAGUUAGCUUUAGCCGCUAACAAAGAGAGCAAGCAACGCGCUUCCGAGCAAGCAAACAAUAAGUCCAAAAAUGUCAGGUGUUGCACUCACAGCGUCAGAGUCAGCCACCAUUAUCUCAAUGGGUUAUCCUGGCACCAGAGGGGCAAGUCCUGUCAGCACACUGCACACGCAUGGCAAGUGUGGCUGACUCCUGGACGCAUGAGCAUGGUGAGAUGGUUGCAUGCGACAAGACUAGCUGCUCUGUCCAAUGGUUCCACUUCCGGUGUGUAGGCAUUGUUGACAUGCCUCCAGCUGAUUCAGUAUGGUUUUGCCCAUCAUGAGAAAAAUGACCGACAUUAUGCUUUCUGUAUGCAACAUGCUAUUGUAUUUACAAAUGCAAACUGUGGUUAUAUAGCAUAUGUUCCAAUACGCCACCAUUUUUACAUUUUUAGCAUUGCUUGUGGCCCCAUGUACUUGCGUAUGUUGUCUGAUCUUAUACAUUGCACUGUAAACAACUACAUAAACAUGCCCUGACAUUGUACAUUGUUAACAUUUAGCACAACAGUGUGUUUAUGUGUAUCUUAUCCUCUUUGUUUUGCACAGUUUUUAAUUAUUAUUCAAAUAUUACCAAUGUAUAUCACUCAUAUUAACAGUUGGGGAUGACUUUGAUGUACAGUACACAAAAUACGUAUAUUGCAUGUUCAUGCUCUGACGUCACUUGAAGGACUUGCAAAAUUUUCACUUAAGUACAGUGGUACCUCUACAUACGAUCGCUUCGACACACGAACUUUUCGACAUCCGACGUAAAAUUUGACUCGCCAUUUGUUUCUACAUCCGACGACAUGCUCGAAAUACGACGACAAUGGCAGCACCGCAGACGAAUGCACGGCGGAUUUUCUUGUGUGACAAAUCAACACAGGUUUCAGAAAAGGUUGGUACAGGUGGUGAAACAAGGAAAAAGUUGAUGCUUACCUUCGAAAUGAAGAUGCAAAUGACAGAAAAAUAUGAGCGUGGGGUGGGCAUCCGUGAAAUGGCUCAACAAUACAUCUCCACGGUCCUCCUCCGACCAUCGUUCGCCAGUCUUUAUAAAUUAAGCUGACAAUUCUUAUUGUCUCCAAAGAAAUCGCCAGCUUCGCCACGUUUUCAUCAUUUCUUUUACAACUUAUUCAACACAAAACGCCUGCUGUCUGCCGCAAUUGAUGGUGUUCUCAAGAGAACAUUCAAAGUGAAAGUGAAACUCAAGCUCACCGGUCUGUCUCUGGCACGUGAGCCCCGCGGUGCGUUCAGGUACACAAAAAAACGUCCGCCUUAUUAGAACCCGAUUCGUUACACUAUUACAGGAAUUAUUAUUAUUCUUUUUAUAAUUUAUUUGUUUUGCUACGUGUAAUUGCCAUUUGUAAUAGCACCAGCAGUAUUUUUUAAGGAUUUAGUGCAGGUUUUUGGGCUGUGGAACGAAUUAAUGGAAUUAUAAUGUAUUCCUAUGGGAAAAUCCUGCUCGACAUACGACCAUUUCGACUUACAAACAAGGUCCUGGAACGGAUUAACUUCGUAUGUAGAGGUACCACUGUACCUAUUUUUGUGUUUUGGACCUUUUGUUUCUCUAACAUUGCAUUUUGUUGAAUAUAUAAAAAUAAACCAUGUCAUUUGGAUUGUACUUUCAAGUUUUUAUUCAAUAAAGGCAAAUAUUAAGUGCACAUCAAACUACACUUUUUCAAAUAUUAGUUAAGGCACAGCAAACAGUUACUAUUUGAUCUAACAUUGUCAGAUUUUCCCCUCCCAAGCAAAGUAGCAUGCUGAUAGCCACAACCGAUAGCAAAAUCCUGUACUUGUUACGUACAACACAAAUUACUCUUAUAGUAUAAGGAGCUUAUAAUCAUCCAACUCUUCUUUCAACAGCCGGUUUUCUUCCAAAAAGUUGUUUACCAUGUCUUGUCUGUGUGUUUACACAACACACAGACUGGUGGCUGGUCGAUGUCUGUCUGUGUGGCAACAUGACAAGGUGGCUGGUCCAUGCCUGUGUGCAUUGCAGGAGGAGAGGGUGGCUGGUCCAUGUCUGUCUGUGUGGCAACAUGACAAAGUGGCUGUUCAUUGCCUGCGUGCAUUGCAGGAGGAGAGGGUGGCUGGUCCAAAUCGGAUCGUGUGGCAGCAGGAGGGGGUGGCCAGGCCUGUCUGCGUCUUAGAUGCCUCUGAAAUCUUGCCUUAUCUGUCACCUGCACUUCACCGUGGCCCAACCACAGUGACUGUUUCCAAUCUGGGUGGUUCUCUAGCAUUUCAUAAGAUGGCUUACCUGUAAACAAUAUAAGAACAAGCAACACAAAGAAAACAUCAGUCUGUGACCACAGUGGCCUAUACUACGAAGCCAGUUUUCUGGCUUAGCUGGGUAACUUCGAGAGUAACUUCAUCACGUGCGACCUAAGUUCGCAGCUAAGCGAGACUACGAAAGGUGGAUAUGUCGGAACCGAGAAGUGUUGCCAUGGCAACACACGCCACACGCCAAACCUGGUCGUCUCAGAGUUAGAUCUUGCUUAACCCCAGAAUUCUAAUUAACCACGCUAUAAUUAAACAGCACUCCUCCUCGGACGUGUCCUCCUGACAAUGACAGCGUACCUGGACGACCCAUACGACAUUGGCGCGCGGAUUGUGAGGGGCUCUCUUCGGAGUGCACGGGUUUUUGGAGACCGCCAGAAUCCGCUGGCGUACCCGGAAGAUGUUCUCCAUGAAAGAUUUUCAGCUGACGGAAUUCUUUACCUGUGCCAACUGAUCGAGGCGGACGUCACUAUAAUGUAACCCGCCGAAGUCAGGCCCUCACAAACGGGCAGAUUGUGUGCCUCUCCGUGCGCUCUUUCGCCAGGGACAAUAUAUGCAUUCCAAUGGUGAUGCUGAAUAUCUGCGCAAGAACAUUGUAUGCCGUGCGAUUCGAAGUGGGGUAUGGAAACGCUUCAAAUUGAUCGUUGAAAUUGCUGAAUGUAAACGAAUGCGGAGCUUUGCUCUCAUAUACAAGAAAUAUAUUUAACAGACUUUUCCAGCGUUAUUUCGUUGUGUAAAUGAGUUAAUAAUAAUCAUAGAAAUAUGUAGACUAUUUAAACAUUGAGAAAAUUUGCGUUUUUUUCUGCCAACUCGAAGAGAUUAAAUUAAAUGUCAAAUCCACUGAUAGGACAGACGCACAAA